GAUGAACGCUGGCGGCGUGCCUAAUACAUGCAAGUCGAACGCUGGAGAUCUAGCUUGCUAGAUCGAAGGAGUGGCGAACGGGUGAGUAAUACAUAAGCAACCUACCCACGAAGACUGGGAUAAUCUCUGGAAACGGGGACUAAUACCGGAUAGGUAAUCGGAAGGCAUCUUCUGGUUAUUAAAGGUUAAAAACACUGGUGGAUGGGCUUAUGGCGCAUUAGUUAGUUGGUGAGGUAACGGCCCACCAAGACGAUGAUGCGUAGCCGGCCUGAGAGGGUGAACGGCCACAUUGGGACUGAGACACGGCCCAGACUCCUACGGGCGGCAGCAGUAGGGAAUUUUCGGCAAUGGGGGCAACCCUGACCGAGCAACGCCGCGUGAGUGAAGACGGCCUUCGGGUUGUAAAGCUCUGUUGUAAGGGAAGAACGGUAGAUAGAGAAUAUCUAAGUGACGGUACCUUACCAGAAAGCCACGGCUAACUACGUG
This 486-nucleotide ribosomal RNA is filed under the name uncultured bacterium. RNAcentral describes it as "partial 16S ribosomal RNA". It matches the Rfam family "Bacterial small subunit ribosomal RNA", at positions 28 to 507 of the family's 1533-position model. The record is from RNAcentral.